Molecule: non-coding RNA, 76 nt
Organism: Myotis brandtii (Brandt's bat)
Lineage: Eukaryota; Metazoa; Chordata; Mammalia; Chiroptera; Vespertilionidae
Source: Rfam
GGAGGUUCUCAGGUGACGCACCCCAGAAUCAGGCUCCCUCCUCUCUGGUUCCUGGUACGUCACCAGGAGAACCGCA